UGACAUGAACNCAGUGCUCAGAUAGCU
RNAcentral lists this non-coding RNA (27 nucleotides) under Mus musculus (house mouse). Lineage: Eukaryota; Metazoa; Chordata; Mammalia; Rodentia; Muridae. The record is from RNAcentral.